RNAcentral lists this ribosomal RNA (543 nucleotides) under uncultured Bacteroidota bacterium. Its description in RNAcentral is "SSU rRNA". It matches the Rfam family "Bacterial small subunit ribosomal RNA", at positions 242 to 782 of the family's 1533-position model. The record is from RNAcentral. Lineage: Bacteria; Pseudomonadati; Bacteroidota.
CAGGUAGUUGGCGGAGUAACAGCCCACCAAGCCAACGAUCAGUAACUGGUGUGAGAGCACGACCAGUCACACGGGCACUGAGACACGGGCCCGACUCCUACGGGAGGCAGCAGUAAGGAAUAUUGGUCAAUGGACGCAAGUCUGAACCAGCCAUGCCGCGUGGAGGAUGAAGGCCCUCUGGGUUGUAAACUUCUUUUAUUUGGGAAGAAACCUAUCCUUUCUAGGGUAGUUGACGGUACCAGAUGAAUAAGCACCGGCUAACUCCGUGCCAGCAGCCGCGGUAAUACGGAGGGUGCAAGCGUUAUCCGGAUUCACUGGGUUUAAAGGGUGCGUAGGUGGGCAGGUAAGUCAGUGGUGAAAUCUCUGAGCUUAACUCAGAAACUGCCGUUGAUACUAUCUGUCUUGAAUAUCGUGGAGGUGAGCGGAAUAUGUCAUGUAGCGGUGAAAUGCUUAGAUAUGACAUAGAACACCAAUUGCGAAGGCAGCUCGCUACACGGUUAUUGACACUGAGGCACGAAAGCGUGGGGAUCAAACAGGAUUAGA